GGGUGCGCCACUGGCGAGUGGCGAGGUGGCAGGUGGCAUAGGAUUACCGAAACGAAACCUAUCCUAUCGUAUUCGCAGGCCCUCUUAUCUCUACAUAUGUACAUGUCAAAUACAGUUCACAGCAUCAAUAAGUGAUAGCUCUUAUGAGAGAAAGAUAAUUGGAUAGCCUAUUUUAUUUGUGGUUUAAAAGCUUUGUAUUGGUUGCUGUGGGGCUGAGAUGGGGAAGGAAUAACCAACUUAGUGAAAGACUACACAAUGAACAUGCAACAUGGACAGGACUGGACCAAGCAGUGUGUUAAGCCAGUACUGUAUGACUGUCGGGUUCUUUUGUGUCAUACUCUACAUGUAUGGAUUUUUUCCGAUUAAGGCAUCUACCAAUAUAUUUUCCUCAAGAACAGACCUACCAACAAAUCUGCAUGAUUUAAAAUUCCAUACUGAAAACUUGUACAACGGCAGUGUGAGUAAGACUGUACUGAUGGUGAUUGAUGGAAUCAGGCUGGAUUUUGUGACAAAGGACAACAUGCCAUACACAACGGGGAAGUUGGAGGGGAAAGAGGGUUGCCACCUGACUGCUAGGGUGUCUGCCCCAACAGUCACCCUGCCCAGGAUCAAGGCCAUAGUGACUGGCACAGUGUCAAGCUACAUUGACGUAAUGCUCAACUUUGGCACCAAAGAAUUAACUGGAGACAACGUUAUUCGGCAAGCUGCACAGACCAAGAGGUUGUUAUUCUAUGGUGAUGAUACGUGGAUCAAACUUUUACCUCAUCAUUUCAUCCGCAGUGAGGGAACAUCAUCAUUCUUUGUCAAUGAUUAUACAGAAGUAGACAGUAAUGUGACACGACAUCUGGACUUCGAGUUGCACAGGACUGAUUGGGACGUGAUGGUGCUGCACUAUCUGGGUCUAGACCACAUCGGCCAUAUCGAGGGUCCCAACAGCCCUCUGAUCAGGCCCAAGCUGCGAGAAAUGGAUGGUAUCAUUGCUCGUCUCCAUGAAUAUUUACAAGAACAGGGUGGAGGAGUGUUGGUGGUGUGUGGUGACCAUGGCAUGAAAGACCAGGGAAGUCACGGUGGAGUUUCCACUCCAGAGGUUUUGGUGCCUCUUGUGGUGCUUGGUCUUGGUUGUCCCACUCACAAUAAAGAGGAGGUGCUCCAAGUGGACUUGGCUCCAACCCUGAGUGUGUUGUGGGGAGUUGCCGUACCUGCGGAUAAUAUUGGUGUGGCAAUAUUUAGUCUGUUGGCACACUUGUCGCCGGCUCAGCGUCUCUUCGCUCUACUCCACAAUGGGCAACAACUGGCGGCUAACUUUCUUCGCAACAAGGGGUCCACGGUACACGAGAAUUACUGCAAGUUUGAGGAGGCCAGACAGAAACACUACGAAUGGCUCAUCAACUCUAGUUCCGUGUCUCACCUUGAGGUGGAAGCACUGUACCAGUCCAGUCUCCUAGGCAUGUCUCGUUUCUUGUCUGAUGUCUUGGCGAACUAUGACACCUGGGCACUAUUCACUGCCAAGGCUAUUCUGUUACAGGUAGUAUGCAUGCUAGGCCUGAAACUAGCUGGAGUUUCCCCACCACACCCCAGCAUGUCCUCGGUUCUCUCUGUCUCAGCUAUAGUCGGGGUUGCUAUGGUUAUACUCUGUUCAUUACCACCAUGGCCUCUCCCUAUCUUGCUAUGCUGUAUCUCGCUCCUCAGCGUCAAUUCUGUGCUGCUCUACCAUCAGUUCAGAACCUUGCCAUCUUUGUUCAAGGCAGAGGUGAGAGUUAGAGAGUGGUGGCGCUUGUUGCUGCCGGUUGGCACUGCAGUCCACUGCUUGGCGCAAAUGUCCUCAAGCCUGUUAGAGGAGGAGCAUCAACUUUGGUACUGGCUGUGGGUAACAGUAGGACUACUGAGGCUGCGCCAGAACUGUGCCCGCUGGCUGUGUGUACUCGUGAUCCACCGGGUGCUCCGGGCACUCAACCAGACAGGAGACCGCUGGGCUCACCUCCCUGACCUCAGUGACUGGCUCACUCUCACGUCUAAUGCUUCCAUCCUCUCUGCCUUUUGUGCACUCAGUUUGUUAUGGCUGUGCUGGUACUGCACACAAGUAUUGUCUCGCUCUUGGAUACCAACCAUUCUCUGUGCCAUAACAGUUUCCUGUAUAUAUCAACACAAAGCAGCCAUCCACCAAGCAAUCCCAUUUAUAUCUCCUUCUUCCAAUGGCGUGAGUGAGGCUCGCAUGUGUUGGCUGCUGCUGCUCUUACUGCUGCUACAGGGCAGAUCUCUGAACACUCUGCUAGUCUGCUGGAUGUUAAGCAGCAGUCUGCUACUUCGCUCCCACAACACAGUGCUCAUCCCUGCUUUAUACUUCUUCAGUCAGUCUGUAGCCCUCUAUCCCUCUCCAGCCCACACUGUCCUCCACCACUGGCUUGGGGCUGUCUUCUUUUUCUAUCAGAAAGUGUCAUAGCAACUGAAAGCCAUUUUAUGCUGUACACUUAAUGCUACCAUCAGUGCUGGCUGGCAACCUGAGUGUAAAUUAAUGGGAGGGUAACCUCAACACCAGCCUGGCCAGUGUGGACCUAGCAGCUGGUUACAUUGGUUUGGAGCAGUACAAUAUAGUCAUUGUUGGAGCACUGUUGUUGGCUCACACUUACGCAAUGCCAGUGUUGGCUUAUACUCUCAG
This 2656-nucleotide unclassified non-coding RNA is filed under the name Homalodisca vitripennis (glassy-winged sharpshooter). Its description in RNAcentral is "gPI ethanolamine phosphate transferase 2, transcript variant X3". Lineage: Eukaryota; Metazoa; Arthropoda; Insecta; Hemiptera; Cicadellidae. The record is from RNAcentral.